GUAUGAUCCAAAAGGUGAUUCAUGGUCAACUGUGGCACCUCUGAGUGUUCCUCGAGAUGCUGUUGCUGUGUGCCCUCUUGGAGACAAACUCUACGUGGUUGGAGGAUAUGACGGACAUACUUAUUUGAACACAGUUGAGUCAUAUGAUGCACAGAGAAAUGAAUGGAAAGAGGAAGUUCCUGUUAACAUUGGAAGAGCUGGUGCAUGUGUUGUAGUGGUGAAGCUACCCUAAAGCUAUCUAUCUUUAUCAAAUGGAAUGAAACUGGAUAAUUUCAAGAAACUGAGUAGGACAAAGAGAGAAAGAAAUACAUGUUCUUUUUCCUGCAAUUAAUAAUCAGACUGGAAAAUUGUUGUAUCAUUUUAAUUUGUAGUUACAAUUGCUUUCAUUCGUGAAGCCGAAACGUUUUUAAACAUGAAUUACAUAUGAAUUAUUAAGCAUAUGUGCUUUCGCAGCUGAUAAUAUAAAAGGAAAUCCCAUAGUCUAGAUAUAGCCCCAUUACUACAAAAUGCUAAAAUAUUUAAUGAAAAUUGAUGGUGGCCACAGUGUGCAGGUUAUAAAAGCAUUAAUACAUUUCAAGGUAAGAGCCUUAGAAGUUAAAAACAUUUUCAGUUUUUUUUAAAAAACGUACUCUUAUUAUCUGGAACAUAGAAAUAUAAAAGGUAACAUCUAAAGCUUAGAAUAGUGUGAUUUUUAGUAAGCCAUUAUUCUCCUAUUCAAAUAAUAUCCCAAAGAGCUAAACAAUUCCUUACAUUUACCAAGAGGAAAGCUUUUACUGUGUUGAAGCUAAAAAAAAUAAUGGCUCUUUGACAAAACUUGUUAUGUUCAUCACGGUAUGUCAAAAUUUUUACAGGUUUGCUCAUCUGCCAGAGCACACAUAUAAAUUUGGUAUUUCUUAACAUAUUAUCUUGUUAGAUUUGUUAUCAGUAAAAUAUUACUGUAAUUUCAUAUACACAGUCUAUACAAUGAAAUAAUGAAUAUUUAUCAUAUUGAUACAAACUGUGACCUCAGCUUCAGAGUGUCAGGGCCUCACUUGUAUAGAAUGUAAUGUUCUCCUCAAACAUUUAUGUUAACUCUAUAAACAAAUAUUGUUAAGUUAAACAAGUUUUCAAAAACAAAACAAUUUUUAAAGUACCUUAAAAUUGAGGAUGUUACUCAGUGUUAACAAAUGGGAACACCAAAAUAUUCAAUAAGCCUGGUCAAUUCUAUAGUUAUCUUUUUUGUACCAACACAUGCUUUUCUGUUACUGUUAUAUUAUCCAGUAGAAAAUGUUAGGAUAUGUGUGCUAUAUAUAAAAAAAAAGACUUGUUAAGUUGUAAAAUAACAAAAAUGGCUAGUUGAAUAGUAUUUUAUGUGUAAUUCUUCCAUUUAUUCUGUUUAAUUAUACAACUAAGAUGAAAUAUUGAAAAACCCUUUGUGAAAGUAACUUUUCAAGUAAAUGCACAACUUUAGAAUUUCUACAAAUAAGUUCUUUUAAACAGUCUUUUUAUUGUGGAUUGUGAAAUCAAAAUCUGGAGAAAUGCUUACAAAAUAUACUACUAGCUUUUAAGUUUUAAGAAAGAACAACGUAAGUUGUGCAAAGAUAUUUGUACUUUGACAAACUGAAUUUAAAUAAACUUUAUUUCCUCUCACUAUAGUGUGGCUUUAGAAUAUACCAAGUACAACCUGAAUGGACUUUUUGAUUUUACAUUUCCUAUAUCACUAAAAUACUUAAACACAAAAAUAAAAUUCCCCUCCUUUAUUUCUUCUUACACCUGCCAUUGUCUCUAAUUCUAAAGAGAGAGCUAUAGAUUUCUGCAGUUCUAGAGGUGAAGAUAGAGACAUAGAGAGGCUGUGAAACACACAUACAGCCCUGUUAGGUCUUUUGAAUUCACACCUUAUUGAAAUCAGUGUAGAAGUAGAGUUACCUAAACCUUUAUCGCCAAUGCACAGCUUGGCCUGUUAAGUUAAAUGUGGGUGUCAACCAGUGGAAAAGAUCAAAGGACCUUUUGCAGCCUAGCUUGCCAAUCUUCCAGUAACAACGAGGUGCUACCAAUAGGCAGACUGUGUCUAGAGUCAUGCAUGGACAAGAGGAAAGUGAAAGUUGAAUACUCUCUUCUCAAUGGCAUAGCUGGACUUGAUUAAGUAUUGACUCAUAGAAGAGACAUGUAUGUUUCCCAGGGCUACCCCUUCAUAGCUGCAUUUAAAAAUGGUGUUCAGGCCACUAUGGCUGCUGUGGUUUGAAUAUUUUUUUCCCUCGAAAACUCAUGUUGAAACUUAACUCCUAAUGUAGCAGUACUGAGAGGCAGGGCCCUUAAGAGGUGAUUGGGCCAUGAGGUCUGUGCCCUCCUGAAUGGAUUAAUCCAUUCAUGGAUUAAUGGAUUAUUAUGAGUGGGGGACUGGUGACUUUAUAUGAAAAGGAAGGAAGAGUGACCUAAGCUAGCAUGCUCAGGGUGCACCGUAUGUCCCCUGGUCAUGUGAUGCUAUGUGUUACCUUGGGACUUACCUGACAGCUCUUACCAACAAGAAGGCCAUCCCAGAUAUGGCCUCUCAACCUCAGACUUCUCAGCCUGCCUAACUGUAAGAAAUUAAUUCUUUUUCUUUAUAAAUUACCCAGGUUCUGUUUUAAGCCUCAGAAAAUGAACUAAGACAAUGCCCUAGAUGAGCUGCCAAAAUCUGAGCAGAUAUCAGCCAUCAGAAUAGAGACCUGCAGAGGCCCAGGGCACUCAAACAUAACUGUGCUUGUCUUAGUCAAACUUAAUUGGGAAAAGGAGGAGUAAGAGCAGGCCCUUUCUGACAUGCUUUAGCAGAGAUAACUUAUCAGGUCUAGUUUAAACAAAUGUGUAUAGGAAAGGAUGUUAUUUAUAUAUUCUUUCAAGAGUGUAAGGGCUCACACAUUUACUAUACUCAGAUCUGAAAGACAAUGUUGCUUCUUGAUUUUUUUCUAUAAUCACUAUGACCGUGUUCAGGAUUCCCUACUCUGCAACUCUCAGCAUGCAUCAUGAUGAUUCUCUAACACUGUCUGUCACCUUCCUGUAUUUCCACAGGGCAUGAAGAACUUCUACAAAACUUCUAUACCACACAGAAGCUGAAAGAGACUCUGGGGCACUAAAUUCAGAUCCUUUCUCCACACAGCAAUGCCAUUUAUCAAUCUGACUCAGGUGUGGCUGUUGCCCCUUUUUGAUAUGGAGGGAACACUGAAAGACAGUUUCCUUCUGGAGUUCCAAAUGCAAUAUAGAAAAAAAAACCCUGUGACUCUGGGUUUUAUUUUAAGUUCUCUAACAAGACUCCUACCUUGAGAUCUUAGUCUAGGUAAAGAAAAAAAAAAUGUCAUGAAACACAUAUGUCCUCAACUGUCAUCAUUCUAUGUUUACUUUCUCCCAAUCACAUCACCUGAGGUAGAAGAGAUUUUUCAGUUGCUAUUUCUCUUCGUAAUGAAUUUUCUUUACAUCUUGUCCACACUGCUGGAGAUACUAAGUCCCAACCUAAAUGAUGGAAGGAGCAUCUCUCCUCUUGUCUGUGGAAGAUAUCACAUGAACUACCUAAUUUUCAAGCAUGGCUCUCCAUAUUUCAAAGGAAAGUUUUUAAAAUGUUUUUAAAAUUUCAAAUAUCUCACCACAGUGAAUUAUGGGUAAGGUGAUAAUAUGUUUAAUUAGCUUGAUUUAAUCAUCC
Molecule: long non-coding RNA, 3649 nt
Filed under: Pan troglodytes (chimpanzee)
Lineage: Eukaryota; Metazoa; Chordata; Mammalia; Primates; Hominidae
Description: long non-coding RNA NONPTRT018317
Source: RNAcentral